GUGCUUGCUUUGGCAGCACAUAUACUAAAAUUGGAGUGAUACAGAGAUUAGCAUGGCUCCAGCAAGAGGAUGACAUGCAAAUUCAUGAAGCAAUCCAUAUUUAA
Molecule: small nuclear RNA, 104 nt
Organism: Talpa occidentalis (Iberian mole)
Lineage: Eukaryota; Metazoa; Chordata; Mammalia; Eulipotyphla; Talpidae
Source: RefSeq, a predicted model, not a curated record